Haliotis rufescens (red abalone) is the source of this 3364-nucleotide RNA transcript. RefSeq lists it as uncharacterized. The record is from RefSeq and is a predicted model, not a curated record. The transcript is spliced from 2 exons. NCBI's taxonomy places the organism in Eukaryota, Metazoa, Mollusca, Gastropoda, Lepetellida, Haliotidae.
GUCCAAGCUACAGUAUCGAAAACAAUGCCAUCAAAAGUCGUAAUGAUUGACAUUCUGAGCAGCGCUUGUCUUAGCAUCGUACUUUCUGUAUCAUAUGUAAACGCUGUCAGGAGCUGUAGUAGCUUCGUCAAGCGCCUUUCUUAUCGCGACGUUCAUUGGCCAGAUCGUAUAUUUCAUCCAAUCAGGAAGGACAUUGCAUUGAUUCGCCAUUUUUUUUAUUGAGCACAUGGCUUAUGCAAUCGUUCAUGAUGCCACCAAAGAAAAAAACGCAAAUAAAAAACCAGGGCACACUGAAGACUUUUAUGUCAUCGACAGAUGUUGAUGUAGGUGCAGAGAGCGCUAAAGUCGUCAAAAGAAAAUUUCAGCAACGAUGGCUGAACCUACACUCAUGGUUGAGAUACGAUUCGGAAACCGGCAAAAUGACUUGUCACUUGUGCGUGGACGCAAAACGAAGCAAUACAUUUACGCAAGGCUGUCACAACUAUCGACUUUCGAACAUCGAGGAUCAUCUCAAAACGAACGACCACCAAACGGCGAUCCUUGCCCCAGAUCUGAGAAGCAAUUUGCGAGAACUGCAAAAUCGUCAACAUUCGUCUCAGGAGAAAGGUGCCUUAAUUGGCAUCAAGGUUGCCUACUGGAUAUGCAAGGAAGGCAUUGCCCUUUUGAAAUACAAUUCUCUUAUGUCCCUAUUGAGGGAAUUGAAUGUGCCGGAUAUUUCUGCUCUACAGGUUUCGGACACUGUGACUUAUGACUCCUCGUAUGCAGCAAGUGAAUUUAUUGAAGCACUGUCGGCGUCUAUUGACGAGGAAAUAAGUGCAAAAGUGAAGAAAUCCCCAUAUAUUUCAAUCUUAGCGGAUGAAAGCACUGAUAUCUGUGUGAACAAGAGACUGGUUAUUUACACUCAGCUUGUGGAUCCAGUGAAUAUGCAACCUAGCACCAAUUACCUAACCAAUGUUAACAUUACAGAAUGUACUGGAGCGGCUCUUUCACAGGAAAUUGGAAAAGAACUCUCCAGAAGGGGAAUUUCUAUGUCAAAGGUGAUGGGACUCGGCUCUGAUGGAGCAUCGGUCAUGACUGGUCAGGGCAAGGGUGUGGCAGGUCCGAUGAAGAGAGAAAAUCCUGGAAUGGUCAACGUGCACUGCAUCGCACAUAGACUUGCACUAUGUACAAGCCAAGCUGCACAGGGUGUUCCAGCCAUGGAUGCUUUCCAACAAGCAAUCACAGCAAUAUACUAUUAUUUUAAAUAUUCACCAAAGAAAGUUGCCCGGAUGGCAGAAGUAAAUGCCAUACUAGACUUACCACAGCUUAAGUAUAAAGAAGUUCACAGUGUCAGAUGGCUGUCUUUUUACAGUGCACUUGAGAGCGUGUACAGGACCCUAGAUGCCCUUCUAGUUUAUCUGGCUGAAGUUGAUACAUCCAAAGAUCCAAAGGCAGCACAUUUGAAGACAAAGGUGAAUUUUGUUUCGGAUUUUAAAUUUAUUUUACUAACAUUACAGUAUUGAUAUCUUUUAGUUCAACAACAUUCCUAUUAAUUUCUUUGGUUAUUCUUUGGUAUGUUAAUCGUGUUAUUAUUUUAACUGCUGUGUCUGACAGUCAUAUUCUGAAUUCCAAAUGUUAAUCAGCUAACCUGUACAAUAACAUAUUAACAGUUUGUUUUUUUUCAGUUGAUUUAUUGUUCCUUUUGUUUAUUUCAGUUGUUUGAAAGGCAUGCAGAAUUUUUGUAUAAAACAGGUACUUUUAAGAUUUUUUCAUUCAUAAAUUACAUAAUUUAAUUACAACAAAGUAAAUGUUAAUCAUAAAUUAAUCGAUCAAGUGAUAAUAAUGGGGUUGUGAAACACUGAAUAUGCUGAGUUGGGUGGGUUGAAUUAAUUUUGGUAAAAAAAAACAUUCCUCAAGCUUAAUUUUAGGUCUUCCUGUUGAUGAACAUGUAUUUUCAGAACUGAUUGUAUGAAAUCAGUGGUCACAACUGUUCAAAUUCUCUUUCUUCAGGUAGCUUGCGCAAAGUUCAUUGCCCUGACUUACAUGAUGAUGGACAUCAUUCCAGUUGUUGCCAAGUUGAACCUGUUCUUUCAGAAGGAGAAUGUGGAUGUCUCUCUUGUGAAGGUUAACCUAACCAAUACACUUGACAAGUUGAGAGAGUUGAAAUCUGACAAUGGUCUUCAUCAGCAGAAACUGAAGGAUGAUCUAGAUGAUGAUCUGAAGGGUUUCAAGGGUCACACAAUCAAAGGCUGUUCUGAAAAAGAGAUUUCUUCUGCCAAAGUCAAGUUCUUGGACAAACUGAUUGAUAACAUUUCACAAAGGUAAGGAUCUGUCGAUGCCAUCACGCAUGUUGGAGGCAUGAAUAUCCUGUGAUAUCACCUGGAAUAAUGUUAAAAGUGGUGUUAAACCCAACUCACUCAAGUUACAGAAGACAAGUGUACUUUAGUUUUUGUAUUUAAGCAUGAGGUUAUUUUGACACAAUUUUGUAUUUUCAUAUUUUCUCUACAGAUUUCCUGAACAAGAUCUGUUAGCUGCAAUUGGUGUGUUGGGAUUAAGACCAGUCAGCUUUCUUUCCAAGGAUGAGUUGGCUGACUGGGGAAAUGAGCAAAUGGAAAUACUGAUCCAGCAGUAUGGUGUGGAGAAGACACACACUUGGACAGGAGAUGACAAGCAGCAGCACACAUCUUCAAGUCCUCCAAUCAUCAAUCCUGAUGAUGCCAGAUCUGAGUGGUCUGACUUGAAGUUGAAAGUUCUAGCUGAAAUGUAUCCAAGAGAUACAUUUGCUAAUCUGUGGACAUUGGUCAAUAAGUAUCACAGAGAGGAAUUCCCUAAUAUGAUUAAACUAGCCCAGCUAGCACUCACACUCCCUGUUCACACAGCAGGAUGUGAACGAGGUUUUAGUGCACAAAACACAAUUCUUGUCCCACUGAGAAACAGGCUGUUGCCUGCCACACAGGACGCUAUCAUUAGGGUUAAAGUUGAAGGCAAAAAACUGGAAGACGUAAAUUUUUCUGGGGCACUCGACUGCUGGGGAAAAAAGAAAAGACUUUUGUUCAAUUUGAAAUGAAGGCUUUUUGGUUGGCCAAUCACUAGGCUGCGGUGCAGAGUCUCCUAAGCUAAUGAUCUGGAGCAAGAUAUCGACACUAGUCUAACACCCAGGUUGAAAAGUCAAAAGCAAUUGGCAUUUGAAGGCAGGAUGGACUGCCUCAGUAUAUAUGUGACAUAGAUGUUAUGAAUAUUGCCCACUUUGAAGUUUCCUCAUAGUGUUACUGAUUAAACGCUGUCCAAAAAUUGUUUGUGUUUUGACUUAUUGACUUUUGCCAUUGACUUAUUACAUUUCUUGGGUCCAAGUCAGUGACCUAUUGACAGCUUUUUGUGUCAAAAA